Molecule: ribosomal RNA, 460 nt
Rfam family: 5.8S ribosomal RNA (bases 129-282)
CAUUACCGAAAUUGAUAUUCAUCUAUUUCUGUGAAUUUUUACAAAUUGCUUUGGUGCGCUAGUAAUAUAGGGCGCCAAAAAUCAACUUCUAACAACUUUUGUCAAACCAAAACAAAUUAAUAAAUUAAAACUUUCAACAACGGAUCUCUUGGUUCUCGCAUCGAUGAAGAACGCAGCGAAAUGCGAUACGUAAUGUGAAUUGCAGAAUUUUGUGAAUCAUCGAAUCUUUGAACGCACAUUGCGCCUUCUGGUAUUCCAGAAGGCAUGCCUGUUUGAGCGUCAUUUCUCUCUCACAAACGUGGUUUUGUUGUAUCUCUUUUUUUACAAAAGAGUGCAAUGAAAGGAAAUGGCAGUACUUCGGAGUUGCUUACAGUGUUUUAGGUUUUACCAACUACACUUCUACGGGCACUCUAGUAAGUCGGCUUGAAAACCCCUUUUUUCAAUGUUGACCUCAAAUCAG